This is a ribosomal RNA of Exophiala xenobiotica, 120 nucleotides long. The record is from Rfam. Lineage: Eukaryota; Fungi; Ascomycota; Eurotiomycetes; Chaetothyriales; Herpotrichiellaceae.
GCAAUCGACCAUAGAACAUGGAGAACAGGGCUUCCCGUCCGCUCAGCCGUACUCAAGCCAUGUGUCGACGAGUUAGUAGUUGCGUCGGUGACGAGCAGCGAAUCUUCGUUGUUGAUUGUU